This 551-nucleotide ribosomal RNA is filed under the name uncultured archaeon. Its description in RNAcentral is "bacterial SSU rRNA". It matches the Rfam family "Archaeal small subunit ribosomal RNA", at positions 326 to 879 of the family's 1478-position model. The record is from RNAcentral.
CGGGGCGCAGCAGGCGCGAAAACUUCACACUGUACGGAAGUACGAUGAGGUUAUCUCGAGUGCAGUCUGAUAAAGGCUGCUUUUCCAUAGAGUAAUAUCCUAUGGGAAUAAGAGGGGGGCAAGACUGGUGUCAGCCGGCGCGGUAACACCAGCCCCUCGAGUGGUGGGGACUUUUAUUUGGCCUAAAGCGUCCGUAGCCGGCUGUAGCCGUUACUCGUUAAAUCCAACGUCUCAAGCGUUGGUCUGCGGGUGAUACCCUACAGCUAGAGGGUGGGAGAGGUAAGCGGUAUUCCUGGGGUAGGGGCGAAAUCCUUUGAUCCCAGGAGGACCACCAGUGGCGAAGGCUGCUUACUAGAACACGCCUGACGGUCAGGGACGAAAGCUGGGGCAGCGAACCGGAUUAGAUACCCGGGUAGUCCCAGCUGUAAACGAUGCUCGCUAGGUGUUGGGUCGGCCACGCGCCGCCCCAGUGCCGCAGGGAAGCCGUUAAGCGAGCCGCCUGGGGAGUACGGCCGCAAGGCUGAAACUUAAAGGAAUUGGCGGGGGAGCAC